AUGAGUCGCUAUCGUCGACAGUUCCCCAGUGUUUAGGUGUCAUGCCUAUCUGGCGUACGAAGCGAUGUUCGUGGUAGCUCGCUCCACAGAGCCUCUCGCGACGCUCUGGAUGCACGACACUUUGUCGGUUGUCGAUCGAGACGUUCAAGCGUCGGUGCAGAGAACGCCUAGCGCCGUGCGCUACCAAGUCCACGACCCGACGUGUCGUUCAUUUCCGUUCCCAAACCGGUGCAGAAGCUUUCUCUCGAUUGCACGCUUCCUGGCUCCGGAUGACCGAGACCGGGGCGACUCCAGCGCCGUCGUCAUGGACGUCUGCCACGGGAUGCUCGUGUGACCUCUCUGGAAGCUCCUGUACGGACUGCAUGGAGCGUGCAAGGCAUCCCGCGCUGCUCAGCCCGGUGCGUAGCGUGUCGGGUGAGCACCCGGCGCCUGCAUGUUGCUUCUUUGUAUGCCACGUGGCGUCCACAGCGCUCGACUUUCGAAGAUUCCGGGCACAGGUCGAGCUGAGCAGCUCCGUCUGGUUUGCUGGUCAGGCGUUCGGCUCCGUGCUUUUGGUUGCUCCGUGUGCGGCGACAGCCGUGAAGCGCCUUACCCGCGGAUAAACGCUGAAACCAGAAUCUUUUUCCUGGUCUACCUGGAUCGGUUGAGAAAGAGUCUCGUUGCGCACCGCUGGGCGAGGCCUCACCAAGUGCAUCCAGACUGAUGGUUUGUCGCUCUGCAUGCUCCCGCAGACCGUUCUUCAUUUCCUGGGAGUAAACGAGAAACAUGGAAUGAGCGCAACAGACGCUGUUUGCGAAUCUGUUCCAAUGCAUCGUCGUUUCUUGCCAAGACCAGCUGCAGCUCACAGAGAAGGCCGUACAGGCCGCUGCGCCAGUGUGUGGAGUACGCGAACAGGCAUUUAUGUAGGACAGGGGCACCACAUCGAAUAGAAGCCCGCUGAGCAUGUUAUGCUGGCAUACUAUGAGCGCGUCCGCUUUAAGCUUGAGUGCUCUAUUCAUGAAAGCAUAUUCGCACAAACUGUUGCGAAGCCGCGGCAGCCAUGUCAGCUACCCUGCGGGUAAGGAGUCGAAAGAUCCGUCAUCCUGAGCAGCGCAAUGAACUUGGAGAAUUCGCUGCGAGUCUCGCUCUCAUUGCGAGUUCUCUGUGGAACUCGGUACCUCCUCGAUGUGUCGCGUUACCAGCGCGUCAUUGACCCCCCAUGGACACGCUCAGGAAUCCUUGCCAUCAGUUCCCAUUGUUCACGGUCAGCAGCGUAUGCAUAUAAUGCCCAGUGGGUGCGCCUCAUAAAGCGCUUCGACACUGACCUGCUUAUGCUUUUGGUCAGUGAAGCUGGAUGGAUACUUUUGGCAGCUGCCCUGUACCGCUUUUUUCGAUCACCGACAAGACGCAGCGAUGUGUCAAGGUAUGCUCAGAGGCGUUUGCAUGAGAAUCUGAUCCUCCGAUCAGGCCGUCUUGUAUCCCCUGUAACGAGAAUCAGCUGUGCUGCUUCACAGAGGUCUGAUCGAAGAAUUCCAGGCGAAUAUGACCGGUUGGCAGCGCAGUGUCCAGAACUCCUCCGAAGACCUGCUCGGCGACAUAUGUGAAGACGAAAGCACCGAGGCGUUCAUUCGUUGAAUUAGAAGCUGUACGAUCUCGAAUGUUUUUCCUGCAUUGUUUCGUGUCAUUGGUGCGAACAGCUCAUCUACGGAUCCGGAAGCGGAAAAUUUGCAUUCGACAUCAUCGAAUCAGAGAGAAUAUACGAGAACAAUGUGCAGUUGAGCGCCAGUCCUAAACG
RNAcentral lists this unclassified non-coding RNA (1774 nucleotides) under Cyanidioschyzon merolae strain 10D. Its description in RNAcentral is "hypothetical transcript". The record is from RNAcentral. Lineage: Eukaryota; Rhodophyta; Bangiophyceae; Cyanidiales; Cyanidiaceae.